This 483-nucleotide ribosomal RNA is filed under the name uncultured bacterium. Its description in RNAcentral is "partial 16S ribosomal RNA". It matches the Rfam family "Bacterial small subunit ribosomal RNA", at positions 28 to 507 of the family's 1533-position model. The record is from RNAcentral.
GACGAACGCUGGCGGCGUGCUUAACACAUGCAAGUCGAACGCUGAAGCUCAGCUUUUGUUGGGUGGAUGAGUGGCGAACGGGUGAGUAACACGUGAGUAACCUGCCUCCUUCUUUGGGAUAACGCCCGGAAACGGGUGCUAAUACUGGAUAUUCACUGGUCUUCGCAUGGGGGUUGGUGGAAAGGGUUUUUCUGGUGGGGGAUGGGCUCGCGGCCUAUCAGCUUGUUGGUGGGGUGAUGGCCUACCAAGGCGUUGACGGGUAGCCGGCCUGAGAGGGUGACCGGUCACAUUGGGACUGAGAUACGGCCCAGACUCGUACGGGAGGCAGCAGUGGGGAAUAUUGCACAAUGGGCGAAAGACUGAUGCAGCGACGCCGCGUGAGGGAUGGAGGCCUUCGGGUUGUGAACCUCUUUCGCUCAUGGUCAAGCCGCAACAAUGGUUGUGGUGAGGGUAGUGGGUAAAGAAGCGACGGCUAACUACGUG